UGAGAGUGGGCUGCGCACAGGCAGG
This 25-nucleotide non-coding RNA is filed under the name Rattus norvegicus (Norway rat). Lineage: Eukaryota; Metazoa; Chordata; Mammalia; Rodentia; Muridae. The record is from RNAcentral.